This 230-nucleotide long non-coding RNA is filed under the name Elaeis guineensis (African oil palm). RNAcentral's name for it is "long non-coding RNA (EGUI_LNC061920)". The record is from RNAcentral. Lineage: Eukaryota; Viridiplantae; Streptophyta; Magnoliopsida; Arecales; Arecaceae.
UAGAGUGGGUUCUAGGGUUUCAGCUCUAGGUUUUUGUGUGAAAAGAAAUACAAGAGGGUCUUGUUUCAAUCUUCCACACCACCACCUCCUCAUGUAGCUCCAUCCUUUGAUCUAGAAGAGUCAAGGUGAUCCAAAAGAAGAAGCUUAUUCCAGCCAUCCAGUGCCUUCUGCGCAAGCUAGCACUCUCAGAAAGGAUGAUCCGAUCAGAACAUCGAGUGGACAAUCUGUAG